GGCGAAGUUUACGGGCACUUCGCUGUAAGCGUUUGAUUUCCUCUUUACAAAUUUCAUUUUCACGGACGCAUCUACUGUUCUUCAGAAGAGUUUUGUUGAUGAUCUCGUGUCUCAUGAAACUGUACUAACCAUGCUGACCCCCAUCCUUAAAAAGGUGGCAAAGGGAAUAAAUGAAUAUUGUGUGAUGAUCAAGAGUGAUUCAGAACUUCAAUAAAUGAUUAACAACCUCCAGCCAAGCAAAGAGAUAUUCGUACAGGUUUCAGCACAGUUCUUUAAAGACAACAAAUUGAACUGGGGCCGCGUGGUGCCAUUAUUUUACUUUGCAUGCAAGUUGGCAAUAAAGGGUUUACGGCAGAAAGCUCCAGAUAUGAUGAGAUCUAUAAUAUCUUGGACAAUCAGCUACAUCAGGGAGC
Molecule: long non-coding RNA, 413 nt
Organism: Polypterus senegalus (gray bichir)
Lineage: Eukaryota; Metazoa; Chordata; Cladistia; Polypteriformes; Polypteridae
Exons: 4
Source: RefSeq, a predicted model, not a curated record